GGCGGAAUGGCCGAGCGGUUAAGGCGCUAGAAUCAGGAUCUAGUUCGAAAGAGCGUGGGUUCGAGUCCCACUUCCGUCA
Molecule: non-coding RNA, 79 nt
Organism: Sparassis crispa
Lineage: Eukaryota; Fungi; Basidiomycota; Agaricomycetes; Polyporales; Sparassidaceae
Source: the annotation of a RefSeq genome assembly